RNAcentral lists this transfer RNA (73 nucleotides) under Marmota marmota marmota (Alpine marmot). It matches the Rfam family "tRNA". From Rfam's summary of the family: Transfer RNA (tRNA) molecules are approximately 80 nucleotides in length. Their secondary structure includes four short double-helical elements and three loops (D, anti-codon, and T loops). Further hydrogen bonds mediate the characteristic L-shaped molecular structure. tRNAs have two regions of fundamental functional importance: the anti-codon, which is responsible for specific mRNA codon recognition, and the 3' end, to which the tRNAs corresponding amino acid is attached (by aminoacyl-tRNA synthetases). tRNAs cope with the degeneracy of the genetic code in two manners: having more than one tRNA (with a specific anti-codon) for a particular amino acid; and 'wobble' base-pairing, i.e. permitting non-standard base-pairing at the 3rd anti-codon position. The record is from Rfam by way of RNAcentral. Lineage: Eukaryota; Metazoa; Chordata; Mammalia; Rodentia; Sciuridae. RNAcentral also lists the same sequence under 2 other names.
GGGGAUGUAGCUCAGUUGGUAGAGUACUUGCCUAGUAUUUGCAAGGCCCUGGGUUUGACCCCCAGCACCACCA